RNAcentral lists this ribosomal RNA (1179 nucleotides) under Staphylococcus aureus. Its description in RNAcentral is "partial 23S ribosomal RNA". It matches the Rfam family "Bacterial large subunit ribosomal RNA", at positions 269 to 1452 of the family's 2925-position model. The record is from RNAcentral. Lineage: Bacteria; Bacillati; Bacillota; Bacilli; Caryophanales; Staphylococcaceae.
CCAAACCAACAAGCUUGCUUGUUGGGGUUGUAGGACACUCUAUACGGAGUUACAAAGGACGACAUUAGACGAAUCAUCUGGAAAGAUGAAUCAAAGAAGGUAAUAAUCCUGUAGUCGAAAAUGUUGUCUCUCUUGAGUGGAUCCUGAGUACGACGGAGCACGUGAAAUUCCGUCGGAAUCUGGGAGGACCAUCUCCUAAGGCUAAAUACUCUCUAGUGACCGAUAGUGAACCAGUACCGUGAGGGAAAGGUGAAAAGCACCCCGGAAGGGGAGUGAAAUAGAACCUGAAACCGUGUGCUUACAAGUAGUCAGAGCCCGUUAAUGGGUGAUGGCGUGCCUUUUGUAGAAUGAACCGGCGAGUUACGAUUUGAUGCAAGGUUAAGCAGUAAAUGUGGAGCCGUAGCGAAAGCGAGUCUGAAUAGGGCGUUUAGUAUUUGGUCGUAGACCCGAAACCAGGUGAUCUACCCUUGGUCAGGUUGAAGUUCAGGUAACACUGAAUGGAGGACCGAACCGACUUACGUUGAAAAGUGAGCGGAUGAACUGAGGGUAGCGGAGAAAUUCCAAUCGAACCUGGAGAUAGCUGGUUCUCUCCGAAAUAGCUUUAGGGCUAGCCUCAAGUGAUGAUUAUUGGAGGUAGAGCACUGUUUGGACGAGGGGCCCCUCUCGGGUUACCGAAUUCAGACAAACUCCGAAUGCCAAUUAAUUUAACUUGGGAGUCAGAACAUGGGUGAUAAGGUCCGUGUUCGAAAGGGAAACAGCCCAGACCACCAGCUAAGGUCCCAAAAUAUAUGUUAAGUGGAAAAGGAUGUGGCGUUGCCCAGACAACUAGGAUGUUGGCUUAGAAGCAGCCAUCAUUUAAAGAGUGCGUAAUAGCUCACUAGUCGAGUGACACUGCGCCGAAAAUGUACCGGGGCUAAACAUAUUACCGAAGCUGUGGAUUGUCCUUUGGACAAUGGUAGGAGAGCGUUCUAAGGGCGUUGAAGCAUGAUCGUAAGGACAUGUGGAGCGCUUAGAAGUGAGAAUGCCGGUGUGAGUAGCGAAAGACGGGUGAGAAUCCCGUCCACCGAUUGACUAAGGUUUCCAGAGGAAGGCUCGUCCGCUCUGGGUUAGUCGGGUCCUAAGCUGAGGCCGACAGGCGUAGGCGAUGGAUAACAGGUUGAUAUUCCUGUACCACCUAUA